This 253-nucleotide ribosomal RNA is filed under the name uncultured bacterium. RNAcentral's name for it is "partial 16S ribosomal RNA". It matches the Rfam family "Bacterial small subunit ribosomal RNA", at positions 524 to 776 of the family's 1533-position model. The record is from RNAcentral.
UACGUAGGUGGCAAGCGUUGUCCGGAUUUACUGGGUGUAAAGGGCGUGCAGCCGGAGAAACAAGUCAGAUGUGAAAUCCACGGGCUCAACCCGUGAACUGCAUUUGAAACUGUUUCCCUUGAGUGUCGGAGAGGUAAUCGGAAUUCCUUGUGUAGCGGUGAAAUGCGUAGAUAUAAGGAAGAACACCAGUGGCGAAGGCGGAUUACUGGACGAUAACUGACGGUGAGGCGCGAAAGCGUGGGGAGCAAACAGG